RNAcentral lists this ribosomal RNA (301 nucleotides) under uncultured bacterium. RNAcentral describes it as "partial 16S ribosomal RNA". It matches the Rfam family "Bacterial small subunit ribosomal RNA", at positions 509 to 808 of the family's 1533-position model. The record is from RNAcentral.
CAGUAGCCGCGGUAAUACAGAGGAUGCAAGCGUUAUCUGGAAUGAUUGGGCGUAAAGCGACUGUAGGUGGCUUUUCAAGUCUGCAGUCAAAUCCUAAGGCUCAACCCUGGACAGGCGGCGGAAACUACCAAGAUGGAGUACGGUAGGGGCAGAGGGAAUUUCCGGUGGAGCGGUGAAAUGCGUUGAGAUCGGAAAGAACACCAACGGUGAAAGCACUCUGCUGGGCUGACACUGACACUGAGAGACGAAAGUUAGGGGAGAAAAUGGGAUUAGAUACCCCUGUAGUCCCUGUCUCUUAUAC